AACUGCAGGAACCAGUCGAUUUGAUGAAAAGCGAGAUAAGCAAGAGGCUAAUCCUCAAGCUUUAGAGUAGCGAUGCAAAUCACUGGGGCGCGUAGUAGUGAAGAAGUGGUUGUAAUGACCAUGGAGCAAAGGGGUUGAACUAGUUGAUUUUAGUAAAUCAUUCAACUUGAAGGAGGAUGAAAAUGAUUGAAAGAACAAAGCCUUUUAACAUACCAAAAUCUCUAGUGUUUUUGGCUUAUAAAAGAGUUAAAGAAAACAGAGGAGGAGCAGGUAUUGAUAAUUGAAAAGUUUGAUCAAGACUUAAGCAAGAACCUUUACAAGCUAUGGAAUAGGCUAUCAUCCGGUAGUUAUUUUCCACCUGCAGUGAAGGCUUGUGAUAUAACUAAGGCAGAUGGAGGGACAAGGACACUUGGAAUACCAACUGUCUCGGAUCGUAUAGCACAGGAAGUUGUAAGAAGUGUUUUAGAACCAGAACUUGAGAAGGCAUUUGAUGAAGAUUCAUAUGGUUAUAGGCCAAAUAAAUCAGCAUUAGAUGCCAUAGGACAAACCAGGAAGCGAUACCAAAAUUGGUUAAUAGAGUUUGAUAUCAAGGGAAUGUACGAUAACAUAGACCACAAUCUACUGAUGAAAGCAGUCAGAAAACACACUACAAAUAAAUGGGUUAUCUUAUACAUACAAAGAUGGCUAAGUGCAGAUAUGCAACUUGAAGAUGGAACAAAGAUAAAGCGUCUCAGCGGAGUGCCGCAGGGAGGUGUAAUUACCC
RNAcentral lists this non-coding RNA (763 nucleotides) under Wolbachia endosymbiont of Armadillidium vulgare str. wVulC. The record is from RNAcentral. Lineage: Bacteria; Pseudomonadati; Pseudomonadota; Alphaproteobacteria; Rickettsiales; Anaplasmataceae.